CUGGCUAACUGCACAUGGUCACACUGUUUUUUCAGAUCCCACUUCCUGUCCCACCCAGCCCCAAAUGUCCGUGGAACCGGCCCCACUAACCUGCAUCCAGCUGCCUCUUCCACCUGGGCCCUGCUCUCAGAUGGAAGUGUCACCAAACACCCAGAUCGCCGUGCUCCUGCUUCUCUGGAGUGGACACAACCUGAAAACCAACUGGACUGAGCAUCCUUCUCCUAAAAUCUCAGCCAGAAGCCACGAUGGAGGGUCCUGGGAAGGGAAGAGAUGUGAAGAUUUCUGUGAUUCUAAAACCUUGGGUCUGCCUGCAAACUUCUCUCUGAUCCCAGCCGAGAGCUGUGCACACGCUAGCUAGCCCUGUCACACAAUAGCCCAGUGUUCCCGUCACAGUGCCUGGGAAUGAGAGGCUUUUGAGGCCACAGAGCUAUGACAAGUCCCCAGGUUGAAUUGACUCUGGGAGGACAAAUUUCUGAGAGACUCACGGGACCCUUAUCCAGGACAACCUCACAAAGAUCCCUGAAACUGAGCUUCCUCUGCUUCGUGCAUAGUUUGAGGUAUAAACUUUCCUUGUGUCUCGGUCAGAUGAAGUGAAGGAUGAAUAUUAUCCCAGGCUAAAGUAACGAAAAGUCCAGAAGCCAGCGAUGACAGAGAUGUGUGUGGAAGAAGGCUGUGAGCAUUUCCAUCAAACCCUGUGAGUUUCCGAAGAUCUUAUCCCGAAGAUAUGUGUUUGGCCAAUAAAACACUGAAUAAAAAUCCAUCAUGUUUCCAGAGCCAAGUCGACUUCUGCUGGGCUGGGGUGAGGCAGAGGCAGAAUCAGACCUUAUAAAGAUGUUUUGAAUAGCGGCUGUUCUGGGAUCGCAGCCCAGUGACAGUGAAUGCUUUCUGAGUUCUCGGAUGAGAAGGAACAGAGUGACAGACUGACCAUAACUGGCCACUGUGGUGUGUGCUCAGCUCCAGACCAGCACCUUAUUUGGUGGGGGGAGAGGGUUCAAGGCCCCAGCGAGACAGUGAGUCCUGGUAGGGAAGGAACUCUGGCCAAGCUGCAGGCUGUGCAGUGGAGUGGGUUAGGAGGGGCCCUCGGGGAGGGAAGAACAAGGAGAGAGGGAAGUGAGAGGAAAGGAGGUUUCUCCUUCAUCUAAAUCCCAAGUAUACACCCUUCUAAGGUCUGUUCUGGCCCUUCCCUAGGGAGUGCCUUCCCCUCUACCUGCCAGGUCCCAUAGAUAAGGAUGUCCUCCCCUGCAGGCGCCUGGCCUCCAUCACAGCAUGCCCACUCUGUGCCCGCUGCAACCUCCUCUGACUCUCCCACUAGACCGGUGCCUGGUACACAUGCUCCUGCGUGCAUGAACAUCGGUCAGCUAUGGGUCCUCAAGAUGACAAAACCCCCUGCUCCUGUGUCCUCACGGGGAUCUGCACCAGCACUGGGCUGAACACUCUCCCUGCAAUCUGUCAGUCACGUCUUCUGUAGCAUUUUCUUUCUGGCAACAACGGUUGGGGUCAUUAAAAGUGUCUUUGAAAUGCAACCUUUUAA
Molecule: long non-coding RNA, 1531 nt
Filed under: Homo sapiens (human)
Lineage: Eukaryota; Metazoa; Chordata; Mammalia; Primates; Hominidae
Description: long intergenic non-protein coding RNA 2765
Source: RNAcentral